GUCGUCAGCCGGGGCCGCAGCGCGGCCGGUGGGGACUGCGGGGCGGGCCGGAGUCCGUCCGAGGGCUCCCGCACCUCGGGCUGCGGGAACAUUAAAAUCUCCCCAGAUGCUCACUGCUCUGAUCAUUUCCCCUACAGCACCAGACAUGUUGGCAUCAUCUCUUAGUUGGGCCAUGUGGCCAGGGAACCCUUCAUGAAACCACCUCUGCAGUCCUGGAGAGUUGCUGUAGAAGAAGGAAAAGAGAGGAAGACAACACAACACAGGAGGGGAUAAGUACCUCUGGACACAAUGGAAGUAGUAGUUGUUGAGCAGAGGGAAAGGGAUAGGAGAAGGAUGUGGACUGCAGUGCUGCAGUGCCAGAGCCCCAGCAGCUACUAUUAAUGAGUGUCUGGAAUAUGUUCCUGGCAUUUCACCUACCCUCUCUCCAAUCCUUCCAAGAAACUCACAAAGCAGGGCUUUUUCUUGAACUUCUCUUCCUCACAACAGUUAAAUCAUCCAUUUAAAGAUGUCAAACAACCUCCGUGUUCUAAGAUGUCUCUGUGUUAGGAAAACUUGGAUAAGCAGGUCCAUAGAAAUUCCUCUGCUAGCCCUGUCUCCUGGAAUUUCUACAUAAUGGCAUAUCCUCAGUUUGAAUAGCUCUCUGGUUCCAGUUUGAAGCUGAAAAGGUUAAAUUCUACCUGAAGGAUGAAAACAACCAACAUUCUGUGCCAAGACAGUCAGGAGGGCAACCAUGUUUCCUGGUGGAGCCUCUGGAACCACUCAAGCCAAGAUGACCGGGGGUUUGGCUGGGAGGAGAUGGGGAAACUACAGACCCUACAGAUGGUUUCCUGUACCAUGAGGUUAAGCCUGGGGGCAGGAGAGGCUGUACCUUAGUUCCUUCAUCUGUAAAAUAAAGUAACAUAGUACCUACCUCA
Molecule: long non-coding RNA, 914 nt
Filed under: Homo sapiens (human)
Lineage: Eukaryota; Metazoa; Chordata; Mammalia; Primates; Hominidae
Description: long intergenic non-protein coding RNA 472
Source: RNAcentral